Triticum aestivum (bread wheat) is the source of this 115-nucleotide non-coding RNA. The record is from Rfam. NCBI's taxonomy places the organism in Eukaryota, Viridiplantae, Streptophyta, Magnoliopsida, Poales, Poaceae.
CAAGUACUCCCUCCAUCCGGAAUUACUUGUCAUCAAAAUGGAUGUGUCUAGAACUAAAAUACAUCUAGAUACAUCCAUUUCAAUGACAAGUAUUUUCGGACGGAGGGAGUACAAG